RNAcentral lists this ribosomal RNA (496 nucleotides) under uncultured bacterium. Its description in RNAcentral is "partial 16S ribosomal RNA". It matches the Rfam family "Bacterial small subunit ribosomal RNA", at positions 29 to 507 of the family's 1533-position model. The record is from RNAcentral.
AUGAACGCUGGCGGCGUGCCUAAUACAUGCAAGUCGAGCGAACGGACGAGAAGCUUGCUUUUCUGAUGUUAGCGGCGGACGGGUGAGUAACACGUGGAUAACCUACCUAUAAGACUGGGAUAACUUCGGGAAACCGGAGCUAAUACCGGAUAAUAUUUUGAACCGCAUGGUUCAAAAGUGAAAGACGGUCUUGCUGUCACUUAUAGAUGGAUCCGCGCUGCAUUAGCUAGUUGGUAAGGUAACGGCUUACCAAGGCAACGAUGCAUAGCCGACCUGAGAGGGCGAUCGGCCACACUGGAACUGAGACACGGUCCAGACUCCUACGGGAGGCAGCAGUAGGGAAUCUUCCGCAAUGGGCGAAAGCCUGACGGAGCAACGCCGCGUGAGUGAUGAAGGUCUUCGGAUCGUAAAACUCUGUUAUUAGGGAAGAACAUAUGUGUAAGUAACUGUGCACAUCUUGACGGUACCUAAUCAGAAAGCCACGGCUAACUACGUG